UUUCCGCUGAUCAUUUGUUUUGUUCGCGUUAAUUUUGUUGCUUCUCGUCGGGCUCCUGCGGCAAAAAAUUGAAAGGGAGUAGAGCCAGCUUUAGGAAUAUUUUAGAAAGCCUGCUCUCACCUUUUUUUAACUCAACAACAGCACCGGCAAACUGGAAGACGAAAACAUUAAAAAAUCCGAACCAGCUCUUUCGGAUAAGGUAACGAAAAUGUCCGAGAAAAUAUUAGCAUCGCGACUACCGAGGCAGUACCGAAACUCAUUGGACAGUUGGUUGUUACAGGUUAUGGCUGCUAGCUGCCUUCAGAGUGGAAGAUCGGUUGAGGGAAUUAUUGACCGUCGAACCGGGCGAAUAAUUACUACACACCAAUCGAGUGUUCAGAUUCCAAGGGGGCGCUAUUCGACCAGAAAAUUCACUUUGAAGGCCCACGAAAAUUGCCGGAAAGGAAAUCCAUCCACAAUACCUGCGGCGGUGAUGAAGGAUACAUGUCCCAUCUUACCUAGCAUCUAGAUCAUCAAUUGCCAAUUUCAUCCGGAAUAUAAGCAAAUGUAAGUUUACACCAAUUGAAUAAAUAAAAGUGACAAACA
Molecule: long non-coding RNA, 585 nt
Organism: Uranotaenia lowii
Lineage: Eukaryota; Metazoa; Arthropoda; Insecta; Diptera; Culicidae
Exons: 2
Source: RefSeq, a predicted model, not a curated record